AUCUACUGCUUAUCCGGGGCCGGGGGGCAAUAGCUUUAGCAGGUAAGCCCAGACUUCCGUCUCCCUAGCUACUUCUUCCAGCUCUCCCCGGGGGUUCCCGAGUCGUUCCCAGGCAAGCUGGCAAUAGUUCUCCAGCGUGUCCUGGGUCUUCCUCGGGGUCUCCUCCCGGUGGGACAUGCCCGGAACACCUCACCGGGCAUGUUACCAGUGAGGCGUUCAGGAGACAUCUGAAUCAGAUGCCCAAGCCACCUCAUCUGGCUCCACUCAUGAACAAGACCCCAAGAUACUUGAACUCCUCCACUUGGCGCAAGAUGUAUUGCCCAACCCGGAGGGGGGCACUCCACCCUUUUCCGACUGAGGACCACGGUUUCAGAUUUGGAGGUGUUCAUCUUCAUCCCAACCGCUUCACACUCGGCUGCGAAACGCUUCGGCGGCGCCUAGAAAUUCUGUCCAUGGUAAUGUUCAGAAUCGGCGACAAAGGGCACAGCCUUGGCGGAGUCCCACCCCCACUGGAAACGAUUCCGACUUACAGCCGGCAAUGCAAACCAAACUCUUGACAUCGGCGGUAUAGUGACCGAAUAGCGCGGUUCAGCGCGUUCGGUACCCCAUACCCUCGAAGCACCCCCCACAGAACUCCCAGAGGGACACGGUCAAAGUAUGAUCAAGUACCUCCUGAUCAAGUAUAGGGCUGUUCACACGGCAAGGUUUGGUCCGGGGCUGCCCCAGUAGAGCGUUCACACGUGCAAAAUAGCUCCGGAAAAGAGCUUAUACCGGACCAAAAUAUUUGCUCCGGAUGAAAUGCUCGUUUGCGAAGCAGCACCGGUGUAAUUUUGCACGUGUGAACGCAACUGGGUUAAAUUUGCUCCAGAGCAAAUGCUUGUGAAGAGUACGUAUGGCAAAAAUGCGUUGCUUUCGUGCUCUGUCGGACUUCCGUAAUGUGUUUGUUUCAUAACGACACAAGACUUGGCUAGUAACAUCUUUCCUUUUGUAGGAGACUGGACUGUCUCGGAGUUGUUUGUUCACAACCCCCCGCACAACCCCCAUAGAAUUUAUUUUGUGAUUUCCUCUCUUGAUUUUCUGUUUGGCGCAUUAGUGUUUGCUUUUCUGAGUGUCGUUGAAGUCAUCGUUCAUUUACGUUUUCUUGGGCGGUCACUCUCGGGCAGAAGGCACGGAAACCGAGAAGGAGAAGGACGUGCCGGUCCAGUAGUCGCUAGAGUUGUGUUUUCAGUACGUUUUAAAAAGAACCAACACGACAGCUCGUUUGUUUUCUGUCGUUUUGCUCCGCUGCAGAAACUGCCGUGUGAACGCCAGUGGGGCAGCCCCGACCGACACUUUGUCAGGGCUGACACUGUGUCGGGGCUGCCCCGCUCAGCGGUUUUGUACGUACUACGUGUGAACUAAUAUAUCGGUGCAGCGCCGGAGCAAAUGUGUGCCGUGUGAACGGCCCUUCUCAUGACCAAUAUUCUUUUUUUGAACAAUCAGGUGUUGACAAACUCACAAUCGUGUUGUGGAAAUUUGGCAAGCGGAUAUUUGAUGUUUUUAAUGUGUCAUCUUUUUUGGGCGAAUAAAGUAUGAAUCCCUUUUGAGCUGUAUGCACUUUUUUUUUUUACAGGAUUAGUCAUGAAAGCGUAAACAAAGACGCAUUCCAAUCUGCAUCUUUUUUUUCUGGUCUUGAAGUCGUCCACAGAAGUUGAAAAAAAUGUAUUGAUAUCCGUCGGAGGAGAAAGUAAAGCUUUUUGUUUUUAAAUGUAAAGCUAAAAGGUCAUUAGAAAAAGUUUUCAGUGACUUUGUAUCACUUGCUUUAGCAUGAUGGUGUCCUUGACGAUUGUGUUGUGUCAAUCAGUAGAGCAACUAUUUGAUUUAGUUACUGUCCAACACUUUAUGUUAUCGUGAGUAACUAACGUAAUUUGUAUUUGACGAAGGAGGAGCAAGUACUGCCAUCUGUUUUCAUAUUGUUGGGGAUGAGCGGCCUUUGUCUUCCUCCGCGUGUUCAUUAAUUUGGGAUGAUGACGAUGAUCACAGUAAGCAGGAAAUACGUUCAACAGCAUUCUGUAUUGUUUCUUUCAAGUGUCUGAACAAACACAACUAACAGAGGAACAAUACCUUAUAAUAAAAUAUUUUAAUUUGUUCUAAUGACCAAGUUUUAACACUUUGUUGGCCGCAGGUCUGCUCCACCAUGAGACGAAGAAUCAAUUACAGAAAGUAGUCCCCUAUGAGAACAAAUAAUGUUGGCAGUGAUGAAUUAAUCUCAGAAGAAAUGCAGCAGAACCAGACAAAUGACGUGGGAUCCUGCCCUGAACCGGUUGAGAACGACCAUUCAUAAAGUUGGCCAGUAGAGGGCAGAAGAACCACGAACGCUCAAGGAAAGCUUCGACAUUUUUAGACCAAAACAAACAGAAAAUUAAGAUACAACCAGAAACAAAAUUGUAACGAGAAUGUAUUUUUUCUUUCCAAGAAUAACACAUUGAAAAAUCUUAUCGCGGCAACUAAGCAUGAUGGGAAAGCCUCCUCCGAUUGCAGUUGCUGUCAAAAUGUUAGCGUCAGUUGGAUUAGUUAGUGCACCAGAGGUUGUGUGAGUGGGUUUCAAAAUAAGACUAAUACAGGAAGUUUGGUGUUAUCUGCCUUAAUCUUGCUGACAUAACAGCGUGACGUCACUCAUUGUUUACAACGGAAGCUCGGAGGUCGGCAACCCGGAAAUGGUUAAUGCACGCCGACGGAUGGCUCCACCGGUGUAAAUACAAGAUUUUGGGCAUUUACCCAACUUCCAGCAGAGAAAUAAUCAUGCUUUUGUGACACUCGCGGCCGUUAUUUGUCGAGACGGUCUAAAACGGACCCAAGCACGUUUCUCUCAGAUGUUCCCCCGUACGUCAUUUAAGAUAGUGACAUCAUGGACACGGGAUGUCACCGCUAUGGAUGGCGCGGACGAGGUGGUCUGAGGGGUUCGUUUGAUGUCAAAGGUCUGCGGUGAUCACAGGAAUGUGGAGAACACCCCCCCUCCCCCCGCCGCUUCCAGA
This is a long non-coding RNA of Hippocampus zosterae (dwarf seahorse), 3014 nucleotides long. RefSeq lists it as uncharacterized. Lineage: Eukaryota; Metazoa; Chordata; Actinopteri; Syngnathiformes; Syngnathidae. The transcript is spliced from 3 exons. The record is from RefSeq and is a predicted model, not a curated record.